UAAGGAAUAUUGCGCAAUGGAGGCAACUCUGACGCAGCCAUGCCGCGUGAAGGAAGAAGGCCUUAUGGGUCGUAAACUUCUUUUAUUUAGGAAUAAACUCUCGUACGUGUACGAGACUGAAGGUACUAAACGAAUAAGCACCGGCUAACUCCGUGCCAGCAGCCGCGGUAAUACGGAGGGUGCAAGCGUUAUCCGGAUUUAUUGGGUUUAAAGGGUGCGCAGGCGGACCGAUAAGUCAGUGGUGAAAUCCCGGGGCUCAACCCCGGAACUGCCAUUGAUACUGCCGGUCUUGAAUACGGUUGAAGUAGGCGGAAUGUAGCAUGUAGCGGUGAAAUGCAUAGAGAUGCUACAGAACACCGAUCGCGAAGGCAGCUUACUAAACCGAUAUUGACGCUCAGGCACGAAAGCGUGGGGAGCGAACAGG
RNAcentral lists this ribosomal RNA (424 nucleotides) under uncultured bacterium. RNAcentral's name for it is "bacterial SSU rRNA". It matches the Rfam family "Bacterial small subunit ribosomal RNA", at positions 355 to 776 of the family's 1533-position model. The record is from RNAcentral.